GAUGAACGCUGGCGGCGUGCCUAACGCAUGCAAGUCGAGCGAUUCUCUUCGGAGAAGAGCGGCGGACGGGUGAGUAACGCGUGGGUAACCUGCCCUGUACACACGGAUAACAUACCGAAAGGUAUGCUAAUACGAGAUGAUAUAUAAAAGUUGCAUGACUUUUAUAUCAAAGCUUUUGCGGUACAGGAUGGACCCGCGUCUGAUUAGCUAGUUGGUAAGGUAACGGCUUACCAAGGCGACGAUCAGUAGCCGACCUGAGAGGGUGAUCGGCCACACUGGAACUGAGACACGGUCCAGACUCCUACGGGAGGCAGCAGUGGGGAAUAUUGCACAAUGGGCGAAAGCCUGAUGCAGCAACGCCGCGUGAGCGAUGAAGGCCUUCGGGUCGUAAAGCUCUGUCCUCAAGGAAGAUAAUGACGGUACUUGAGGAGGAAGCCCCGGCUAACUACGUGCCAGCAGCCGCGGUAAUACGUAGGGGGCUAGCGUUAUCCGGAAUUACUGGGCGUAAAGGGUGCGUAGGCGGUCUUUCAAGCCAGAAGUGAAAGGCUACGGCUCAACCGUAGUAAGCUUUUGGAACUGUAGGACUUGAGUGCAGGAGAGGAGAGUGGAAUUCCUAGUGUAGCGGUGAAAUGCGUAGAUAUUAGGAGGAACACCAGUAGCGAAGGCGGCUCUCUGGACUGUAACUGACGCUGAGGCACGAAAGCGUGGGGAGCAAACAGGAUUAGAUACCCUGGUAGUCCACGCCGUAAAACGAUGAGUACUAGGUGUCGGGGGUUACCCCCCUCGGUGCCGCAGCUAACGCAUUAAGUACUCCGCCUGGGAAGUACGCUCGCAAGAGUGAAACUCAAAGGAAUUGACGGGGACCCGGCACAAGUAGCGGAGCAUGUGGUUUAAUUCGAAGCAACGCGAAGAACCUUACCUAAGCUUGACAUCCCAUUGACCUCUCCCUAAUCGGAGAUUUCCCUUCGGGGACAGUGGUGACAGGUGGUGCAUGGUUGUCGUCAGCUCGUGUCGUGAGAUGUUGGGUUAAGUCCCGCAACGAGCGCAACCCUUGCCUUUAGUUGCCAGCAUUAAGUUGGGCACUCUAGAGGGACUGCCGAGGAUAACUCGGAGGAAGGUGGGGAUGACGUCAAAUCAUCAUGCCCCUUAUGCUUAAGGCUACACACGUGCUACAAUGGGUGGUACAGAGGGUUGCCAAACCGUGAGGUGGAGCUAAUCCCUUAAAGCCAUUCUCAGUUCGGAUUGUAGGCUGAAACUCGCCUACAUGAAGCUGGAGUUACUAGUAAUCGCAGAUCAGAAUGCUGCGGUGAAUGCGUUCCCGGGUCU
Molecule: ribosomal RNA, 1326 nt
Filed under: uncultured bacterium
Lineage: Bacteria
Description: bacterial SSU rRNA
Rfam family: Bacterial small subunit ribosomal RNA
Source: RNAcentral